Molecule: ribosomal RNA, 502 nt
Filed under: uncultured bacterium
Lineage: Bacteria
Description: partial 16S ribosomal RNA
Rfam family: Bacterial small subunit ribosomal RNA
Source: RNAcentral
AUUGAACGCUGGCGGCAGGCUUAACACAUGCAAGUCGAGCGGUAACAGGAGAAGCUUGCUUCUCGCUGACGAGCGGCGGACGGGUGAGUAAUACUUAGGAAUCUACCUAGUAGUGGGGGAUAGCCCGGGGAAACUCGAAUUAAUACCGCAUACGACCUACGGGAGAAAGGGGGCAACUUGUUGCUCUCGCUAUUAGAUGAGCCUAAGUCGGAUUAGCUAGAUGGUGGGGUAAAGGCCUACCAUGGCGACGAUCUGUAGCUGGUCUGAGAGGAUGAUCAGCCACACCGGGACUGAGACACGGCCCGGACUCCUACGGGAGGCAGCAGUGGGGAAUAUUGGACAAUGGGGGCAACCCCGAUCCAGCCAUGCCGCGUGUGUGAAGAAGGCCUUUUGGUUGUAAAGCACUUUAAGCAGUGAAGAAGACUCUAGGGUUAAUACCCUUAGACGAUGACAUUAGCUGCAGAAUAAGCACCGGCUAACUCUGUGCCAGCCGCCGCUGUAA